CCCCUCUCAGGGUCACACCUAGAGGAUUUCCAGUAUUCUACCGGUCUCGGCUAUGGGAGGGAGAGUCAAGCAAAGGCCUACCCAUUCCAUUCCUAGCUUGUGAAGUGGCUAGCGAGUGGAAGGCAAUCUGCUACAAGU
Molecule: non-coding RNA, 138 nt
Organism: Ornithorhynchus anatinus (platypus)
Lineage: Eukaryota; Metazoa; Chordata; Mammalia; Monotremata; Ornithorhynchidae
Source: Rfam